Molecule: signal recognition particle RNA, 266 nt
Filed under: Sedimentibacter sp. zth1
Lineage: Bacteria; Bacillati; Bacillota; Tissierellia
Description: Bacterial large signal recognition particle RNA
Rfam family: Bacterial large signal recognition particle RNA
About the family: The signal recognition particle (SRP) is a universally conserved ribonucleoprotein involved in the co-translational targeting of proteins to membranes. Archaeal SRP consists of a 7S RNA and homologues of the eukaryotic SRP19 and SRP54 proteins.
Source: Rfam by way of RNAcentral
CUGUGCUAGAUGGGGAGGUAGCGGUGCCCUGAACUUGCAAUCCGCUGUAGCAAGGUUGAAUUCCCUUGGCGCGGCAUAAUAAUCUGGGGUCUGACUUAUGAAAGUAGUGUUGAGAGUUUGGUCCUGCGCAACAAAGCGCCAUGAAUCCUGUCAGGUCCGGAAGGAAGCAGCAGUAAGUGGAAGGCAUUGUGUGACGUGGGGUAGCUGAACUUGAGCUAACUCCAUGAGUAGCGCUUGGAGCAUUAUGUCCACCUAAGGGUGCACAG